Molecule: ribosomal RNA, 497 nt
Filed under: uncultured bacterium
Lineage: Bacteria
Description: partial 16S ribosomal RNA
Rfam family: Bacterial small subunit ribosomal RNA
Source: RNAcentral
GAUGAACGCUGGCGGCGUGCCUAAUACAUGCAAGUCGAGCGAACAGACGAGGAGCUUGCUCCUCUGACGUUAGCAACGGACGGGUGAGUAACACGUAGAUAACCUACCUAUAAGACUGAGGUAACUUCGGGAAACCGGAGCUCAUACCGGAUAAUAUCUUGAACCGCAUGGUUCAAUAGUGAAAGACGGUUUUGCUGUCACUUAUAGAUGGAUCCGCGUCGCAUUAGCUAGUUGGUAAGGUAACGGCUUACCAAGUCAACGAUGCGUAGCCGACCUGAGAGGGUGAUCGGCCACACUGGAAGUGAGACACGGUCCAGACUCCUACGGGAGGCAGCAGUAGGGAAUCUUCCGCAAUGGGCGAAAGCCUGACGGAGCAACGCCGAGUGAGUGAUGAAGGUCUUCGGAUCGUAAAACUCUGUUAUUAGGGAAGAACAAAUGUGUAAGUAACUAUGCACGUCUUGACGGUACCUAAACAGAAAGCCACGGCUAACUACGUG